RNAcentral lists this ribosomal RNA (894 nucleotides) under uncultured bacterium. Its description in RNAcentral is "bacterial SSU rRNA". It matches the Rfam family "Bacterial small subunit ribosomal RNA", at positions 8 to 916 of the family's 1533-position model. The record is from RNAcentral.
AGAGUUUGAUCAUGGCUCAGGAUGAACGCUAGCGGUGUGCUUAAUGCAUGCAAGUCGAACGGGAUCCCUUGGACUCGUCUGAGGGUGAGAGUGGCGAACGGGUGCGUAACACGUAGGUGACCUACCCCAGAGAGGGGGACAACCAUUGGAAACGAUGGCUAAUACCCCGGAUGUCAUUGUUGUUAGAGAACAAUGACUAAAUGCUCUGGUGCUCUGGGAGGGGCCUGCGGCCCAUCAGCUUGUUGGUAAGGUAAUGGCUUACCAAGGCUAAGACGGGUAGGGGGCGUGAGAGCGUGACCCCCCACACUGGUACUGACACACGGACCAGAUACCUACGGGUAGCAGCAGCAAGGAAUAUUGCGCAAUGGACGAAAGUCUGACGCAGCAACACCGCGUGGAGGAUGAAGGCUUUCGGGUCGUAAACUCCUUUUCUGGGGGAUGAGAUAGGACAGUACCCCAGGAAUAAGUCUCGGCUAACUACGUGCCAGCAGCCGCGGUAAAACGUAGGAGGCGAGCGUUAUCCGGAUUUACUGGGCGUAAAGCGCGUGUAGGCGGUUUCUUAAGUCGGACGUGAAAGCUCUCGGCUCAACUGGGAGAGGUCGUUCGAAACUGGGAAACUUGAGGAUGGUAGGGGAGAGUGGAAUUCCCGGUGUAGUGGUGAAAUACGUAGAUAUCGGGAGGAACACCAGUGGCGAAGGCGGCUCUCUGGGCCAUUCCUGACGCUAAGACGCGAAAGCUAGGGGAGAGAACGGGAUUAGAAACCCCGGUAUUCCUAGCCGUAAACGAUGUCAACUAGGCGUAGGGGGUAUCCAACCCCUCUGUGCUGUAGCUAACGCGUUAAGUUGACCGCCUGGGGACUACGGCCGCAAGGCUAAAACUCAAAUGAAUUGACGG